Molecule: ribosomal RNA, 253 nt
Filed under: uncultured bacterium
Lineage: Bacteria
Description: partial 16S ribosomal RNA
Rfam family: Bacterial small subunit ribosomal RNA
Source: RNAcentral
UACGGGGGGGGUAAGCGUUGUUCGGAAUUACUGGGCGUAAAGGGCUCGUAGGCGGCCAACUAAGUCAUACGUGAAAUCCCUCAGCUUAACUGGGGAACUGCGUGUGAUACUGGAUGGCUUGGAUUUGGGAGAGGGAUGCGGAAUUCCAGGUGUAGCGGUGAAAUGCGUAGAUAUCUGGAGGAACACCGGUGGCGAAGGCGACUUUUUGGCCUGUAACUGACGCUGAGGCGCGAAAGCGUGGGGAGCAAACAGG